Molecule: transfer RNA, 82 nt
Filed under: Daphnia pulicaria
Lineage: Eukaryota; Metazoa; Arthropoda; Branchiopoda; Diplostraca; Daphniidae
Description: tRNA-Leu
Rfam family: tRNA
About the family: Transfer RNA (tRNA) molecules are approximately 80 nucleotides in length. Their secondary structure includes four short double-helical elements and three loops (D, anti-codon, and T loops).
Source: RNAcentral
AAUAGUGUGGCCGAGUGGUCUAUGGCGCUGGUUUUAGGCACCAGUCUCUUCGGAGGCAAGGGUUCGAAUCCCUUCACUGUCA